RNAcentral lists this long non-coding RNA (5744 nucleotides) under Monomorium pharaonis (pharaoh ant). RNAcentral's name for it is "uncharacterized LOC118645632". The record is from RNAcentral. Lineage: Eukaryota; Metazoa; Arthropoda; Insecta; Hymenoptera; Formicidae.
CACUGUUGCACUGGUGCAAUAAGUUAGAAUGAGAAAAAAUAUACUUGUCUUACUUUAACUUAUUGCACCGGUGCAACAGUGCAGCUAGAAAGAACAGACCAAGUAUAUACAGUAGCAUAACUCCCAAUUCUAGCGUGUACAAAAUUGAACUGCACAUGCGCCGGAUAAGUAGGUAACCAAUCACAUCACUGAUUUUCGCAUUUCUUCUCGGUUAAAAACGCUAUUAGUAUAGUCCAGUGCAGCAACAAGAAGCAGAUUUACGAUUGGUUACCUACUUGUGCUCGAUUUCGUACACGCUAACGUCAAAUGUGCCGACCGCAAGUUGCGCUACUGUAUGUACUGUGUUUAUAAUCUUGUAACUAUGUCUUACUACUAGAGAAGAAAUAAUUUUGCGCGUUGCACAUCGAUCGAAUUUGCAAAAUGUCAUGUCCAAAGAUGAGUCACGCACAGUAGAUGUGCAAACAUACACUGAUUCAAGAUGAAAAGACGUAAAUGAACGACAUGAAUGACAUUUUUUCCCCGACGCAAAAUGCUGCACGAAUUGUCAAAGGAGAAAAUAUGAUACAAAUAAAAUAUGAUUGAAUUAAUGCUAUACGAGUCGCAUACAGUCACAUGAGCAUCGAAACACUCACGAUGCGACAACGCGAUAAUCUUUGUACGGGAGAUGGUAAACUGCGGCAAUGGACGACUGCUCAAUCCAAGGAAGAAGAAGAAGAAACCGGCCGACCUAUAUUGCGUGACAACAAAAUUGCUCCAUCGAGAUUACAUCCACGGUUUACGUCUACACAAGCGUUCCGCGUUUUCAGGUGGCCUUCAACACGCGACAUGGGCAGUGGGUUCUGCAGCUUGACCCGUUAAGUUUCGACUUAAGUAGUACUCUACAUUUAAACUGCAAGUACAUUAAUUACAAUCUUUGAACCUUCAAUUUUUUUCCAGUCACUUCAAUCGAAUUAGUCGACUGACGAUAAAUCACGAUCCUUCUGCGAAUCCUGCCUUCAUAUCGUAGGAAAAACUGAAAUUAAUUGAUAGAAUUAAGUUGACUAUUUUGAUUUAUAAAUCAAAUAAAACUGAGAUUGCUAUAAUCGUAUUUGUGCACGUAACAAACUCUGUUGCUCAGUUGCCUGAAGUAAUUCAGCACAGAUGCAUAUUAUUCAAGAAAUCAUAUUAUCAAAAAAUCAUAUAGACGAGUAAAUCUUUUUAAGUAAUCUUUAAUUUAUUUUUAAAUUACUAUGCUAUAAUAAUUAAAAAACAUUAAAGUACCGCGUAGUCACCGAGGGUAAAAGGGAAACAUUUGAAAAUGAAUUUCUUAGUAUAUCGCGACGCGAUACGUCUUUUUCUCUAAAGCUCCCGCUUCGAAUCGAUCGAAUCUUAACGAUAAGACGAAAAACAUACGGAAAAUUACAGAUCGUAAUUAUUAUGUGCUUUGAAAAAAUAAGCAGUAACCAGAACCUAACAAAGUCGCAGGCUGCAAUUCAAGACUUUGACUUUGAUCGAUCGUAUUUAGCUCUAUUUUUUUCGCUGAACAACGAUCGAUAGACGACAAUAUUCCGUCUCUACGCAGUGUCCGAGUAUUAAGGGCAAAGUAUAGUAGGGCGAGUGUAUGUCCGCAUAAUACUCGGGUUAUUGCACGUUAUUGAAUAAAAGCGAAGGUAAACGCGUCACUGCGCGUCAGUUAGAUAAUGUAGACAUAAUGGUUCCGUACGAUUUGAUUGCAUUGCGCGUGAUCGAUCAUUACUCUUAGUUCUUAUCAAACUAAAAUUCGUGAAAGAUUCACAGAUUAACGAUAAAUCAUACCAAAGUUGAAAUAAUUAUCGUGCAGAUACGUAAAAUAUUUAUAUCGUUUAACGAGUUUUUUCGUGAUUUAUUAUUAUGUUAAUUGAGUUAUUGAUUUAUACUUAUAUUAUUAUAAAGAUUAGAAAAUAACAUAAACAACAAUAACAUAAACAUCCUGUAUUAUCAAAAACAUUCACCGAAUUCACAUUUGGAAUUCUAGAAUAAUUUGAAAUUUAUUAUAAACUACGUGUAUGCUCGAGCUGUAAAAAUCUUGAAAAUUUUCUCUUCUUCGUAUUUCCAAAAUAUUUUCGUAAUUUAAAAAAAUUUAACCUUAGCUCUCUUAAAAUACAAAGAUCUUUUUUGUUAAACAGUCGACGUGAAUCAUCCAUAGAUGAGAGUAGAAAAAAAUUUAAACAUCUCGCAAAUAUUGCACAUACACAUAUCACAACAAAAUGGGAUCUUGAUUGUAAAUUUCGAAUGUCCUUCUGCUAUACAUAUACUACAAAUAGAAUCUAGUAAUCUCAUAGUAUUAUAAGCGUAGAUAUUAAAGGCAUACUAGUGGGGAAGCUAGAAUUAUAGUGCAAACGAAUGCAAGCAAGAAAAUAACUCGCGUAAAAAUAAAUCGAUAAUUUCUCCUGAAUUACUCUUUACGAAGAUACAUAUAAGUAAGGCCAACCAUUUCUAUUCUCCAUUAAAAUGAAAGCGAUUCGCGAACCGAAAUUAAAUCUGAAAGUUAAGUUUAAUCUUUCGCAUACUUGCAAAUAUUAUUAAAGAAUUACUGUAGACAAAAAAUCAAUUGUCAACGAAGAUUAAGAUAUUUGCUUUAUCUCAAAUUUUGAACACGGUAUCGCGUCAUCUCUUUUAUGACAAAUUUCGAGAAAGAAGCUUCACAACAUCACUCGAUUAUUGAUUGUAACAAUUUUGUAAAUAAUUUUCAACCUCUCAAGCAAUGUUCGUUAUUCUUUUACUUCCGUACUGCGCGAUUUUAAUGGCUUCUAAUGUUCGCUGCGUAAUUGACAUCUCUUUUUGUGAAUGAUGAAAUUAAAAAGGUGUAAAGAUGGAAUUAAAAAUCGAGCGGGGGGAAAAAGGGAAAAUAAAAAUAAUGAGAUGUGAAUCAUCUAAAUGGAGCUACGAAGAAUAGAUAUAUAAAAAAAAUUCGUACUGUCCUUUGUUAGCAAAUUUAAUCGCGAUCAUUCACCGGCCAGCCUCAGUCAACUGGAUAGGAUGAGGGGAAUAGGGACGCCUUCAGUGUCAAGUUUUUUAAGCUGAAAGACCUUCUCGCUUCACGAAUCGGAGAAACGAAAAUAACUUGGCCUAACCGGUAGAAUUCGCUUAAACACUCGCUAUUUUCGAAACUACAUUUGUAACUGCACAUGGUGUCGCGUCGCGUCGGAUACGAUUAGAGCUGUAUAUGUUACAUCAAUUCGUACCAAGCAAUGGUUUUUAUCCAACUGAUUAACAUAUCUACGGACAUUUCCAAUCGUGCGAUUUGUAAUCGUUUUGUUCCGUACGACAUCAAAGUAAAUCGAUUUCAAUUACGUCAAUAUACGGUACAAAAGCCGUAAUCGAACUAGCAAACCCUUGUAAAACUGGGCAAGGACAUAUUCUCUUUUUGUUUCGUCGCAUUCACUAAUGUGAAACUAGAUCGUGCGUGACCGAUCCAAUAGAUCCAAAAAGCUCGAGCGCCGAUUCCGAUUUUUUGCUCAAAAUAACUAGUAUAGGUAUCCACAAACACGCACUUGUAUGUAAUAAGUAACCCGUUGCGUAACAAUCAAGGUAACAUACAGAUUUCUUGACCUAUAUUCCCAUCGCGUUUCAUCGCGCAGCGUCGCGAGUCUUUACGGCCACCACAAAUCAACCCUUGAUUUUCCAUUAGAUUUGAAUUUCCAGAAAAUUACGUUGAUAUUUAAGUGCGCGAUAAAUGCAUUUCUCGUACGUAACGAAAGCUGUACAAGUCAACGGAAAAAAUUGACUUAAUCAAGAGUAUCAUUUGAAUAUUUUUGCCAUUAUUUGCCUAAACGCAAUGACUAAUACGGCGCAUAUAUGCCGUAUGCGUUUGGAUACGUGGAUACGGUAAAUACGUAGAUAUCUGUGGCAACGCAACUGUAUCCGACAACGGAAUGAAACAGUAAUCGUUACCGUGUCUCGUUUCAUCCAAACCGACUAUUGUUUACAUUUAGCGUUUAGUAUUUAACGUAACGCAAGCUGAUGCUGCAUGCAUAACAUGCAUGAUGUGCGUCAAUCGGGUCGCGCGUCGAUUUCUUUCAGUUGACUUCUUUCAGUAGGUUAUUAAUAACGAGAAAAAUUAACAUUGCACAUUGUUAGCAUGUAUGUAUGUAUGAAUUGUGAAUUAUAAAUAAUUAAAUUAGCGCGUAAAAGAUCAUAGAUUAAUCGAUUUAUUCCUACAGCAAUAAUUUCUAUCAUUUUCCAUGCUAUUUUGCAUCGUUAUUCCCAUUUUAUGUGUGUUACGAGUUAUGAGUCAUAUUUUGAGUUGUUCUCACUUUUAUCGAUAACAGCGCUUUUAAUCAUAUAGUUUACUAUGUACCCAAAAGCAUUUUUAUCGAUAAAUAUGAGUUAAGAAUAUGGGUCAUUGAGGUUAACAAUCACUAUGAGCGAGGGCAGCCUAAGAUAACUCGUGAAAGAAACCGAAUAAAAACAUCAAAAACUGUUGACACGAAUCCACACGUGGAUUUACGCUACAAGGACUUCCAGCUAUGUGACAAACGAAUCGUUUCACUGCGUUUCACAAUUGGCGAUUCUAGAAGACACUUUACGCUCUUUAUGGCUCCCGAUCGAGUUUCUAUCGCGCGAAGCAAUAAAGGCGACAUUAUUCAUAUAAUACAGUCAUUAUCGCACAUAUCCUAAUACACAUGAAAAAAACACGAAAACUUAAAAAUAUAUAAAAAAUAUUUUUUUUUUUAACGAAGUCGUAACUUUUGACAUGUAAUCGAAGCUCGGAGCGUUCAUGGAGCAAAAAAAUUGUUUUAAUCACAAAAAAUACUAAAAUAUAUUUAUAAAUAAAACAAUAGAAUUGUAACACAAAACAAUUAAAAAAUAAACAAAUAACAAAAAAUAAAAAAUCUGAAACAAUUUUAACGAUUGCUUCUGCGUUUUGUGUAAAUAUAAUAAAUGCGAGGACAGUCUAAGACUAAUAGAGUAGAUAAAAAAUUAAGAUUGAAAAUAGGAUUGAUUUAUUUAAGAGAGUCAAAUUAAAUAUCUGCCAUCGAUGAUUCAACAAUCCGAUAAUAUCCCCCCUUCAUUAUGUAGAGAGAAAAAGAGGGAAAGAGAGGGAGGGGAGAGAGAAAACGGAGCGUGUCUGAUUCCACAAGAAUCAUAUAUUCAUACAUUGAGAGAAACGAGAGAGACGAUAAUCUCACGUAAAAACGAGUAAUAACUCGCAAAGAAAUUAUACGCGUGCAAGUUUAUUCGUGAGAUUUUACAUCAUUUCCGUACUAAAAAUAUUUAACACAAAGAAUAUAUAUCUUAUUGUAAAAGACUUUAUAUCAAAAAUAGCAAUAUUGUAACAUAAUUAUACACGACACGAUUAAUAAGCUGCAUGUUAAAAGAUAUAGAACACUGUGAAAACUGAAAAUAUUUUCUCUAAUUACCCCAUUUUUCAAAAGUAAACAUAUUCGCGUAAACACAUGCCUUGUUAUAAUAUUAAAAUUGCACAUGUAUAUCUUCACGUAUAUUAAUAUUAGCAAACUGGUGACACUUUAUAAUAGUGAUACUUUAAUUUCGUUCUAUGUAAAAAAUAACUUGGCAUAUAAUCAUAGUGAUUAUUUUUCAUAAUGAACGUAACUCACACUAAAGCAUUUUGCUUUCAUGUUUUAAUCAGCAAAAUUGAUACGAUUGAUACCUAUAUGAGCCAACUAGAAUUUUAUCGAUACUUGCGCGCGUGAUUAGGAGUGCCUGCGCAUAUCAUAGAUACGUACCGCGACCUUUCAUUGAUUCAGCGACACGUGCGUAAU